Molecule: ribosomal RNA, 421 nt
Filed under: uncultured bacterium
Lineage: Bacteria
Description: bacterial SSU rRNA
Rfam family: Bacterial small subunit ribosomal RNA
Source: RNAcentral
UAAGGAAUAUUGGUCAAUGGACGCAAGUCUGAACCAGCCAUGCCGCGUGAAGGAUGAAGGUCCUCUGGAUUGUAAACUUCUUUUAUCUGGGACGAAAACGGGAUUUUUAUCUCAAUUGACGGUACCAGAGGAAUAAGCACCGGCUAACUCCGUGCCAGCAGCCGCGGUAAUACGGAGGGUGCGAGCGUUAUCCGGAUUGACUGGGUUUAAAGGGUGCGUAGGUGGGCUUAUAAGUCAGUGGUGAAAUCUCCGAGCUUAACUUGGAAACUGCCGUUGAUACUAUAGGUCUUGAAUUAUCUGGAGGUAAGCGGAAUACGUCAUGUAGCGGUGAAAUGCUUAGAUAUGACAUAGAACACCAAUUGCGAAGGCAGCUUACUACAUAUAAAUUGACGCUGAGGCACGAAAGCGUGGGGAUCAAACA